Molecule: ribosomal RNA, 469 nt
Filed under: uncultured bacterium
Lineage: Bacteria
Description: partial 16S ribosomal RNA
Rfam family: Bacterial small subunit ribosomal RNA
Source: RNAcentral
GACGAACGCUGGCGGCGUGCUUAACACAUGCAAGUCGAACGGAAAGGCCCUGCUUGCAGGGUGCUCGAGUGGCGAACGGGUGAGUAACACGUGGGUGAUCUGCCCCUUACUUUGGGAUAAGCCUGGGAAACUGGGUCUAAUACUGGAUAGGACCAUGCUGUAGGUGGUGUGGUGGAAAGAUUAGUUUCGGUAAGGGAUGAGCUCGCGGCCUAUCAGCUUGUUGGUGGGGUAAUGGCCUACCAAGGCGUCGACGGGUAGCCGGCCUGAGAGGGUGGACGGCCACAUUGGGACUGAGAUACGGCCCAGACUCCUACGGGAGGCGGCAGUGGGGAAUAUUGCACAAUGGGCGCAAGCCUGAUGCAGCGACGCCGCGUGGGGGAUGACGGCCUUCGGGUUGUAAACUCCUUUCAGCCAUGACGAAGCCCUUGUGGUGACGGUAGUGGUAGAAGAAGCACCGGCUAACUACGUG